Molecule: ribosomal RNA, 282 nt
Filed under: uncultured Bacillota bacterium
Lineage: Bacteria; Bacillati; Bacillota
Description: uncultured Firmicutes bacterium partial 16S ribosomal RNA
Rfam family: Bacterial small subunit ribosomal RNA
Source: RNAcentral
AAGUCGAACGAGAGAGGAAGAGCUUGCUUUCCGAUCGAGUGGCGAACGGGUGAGUAACGCGUGAGGAACCUGCCUCAAAGAGGGGGACAACAGUUAGAAAUAGCUGCUAAUACCGCAUAAGACCACGGGAUCACAUGGUUCUGAGGUAAAAGAUUUAUCGGUUUGGGGUGGGCUCGCGUCCGAUUAGGUAGUUGGUGAGGUAACGGCCCACCAAGCCGACGAUCGGUAGCCGACCUGAGAGGGUGAUCGGCCACACUGGAACUGAGACACGGUCCAGACUCC